Molecule: ribosomal RNA, 439 nt
Filed under: Conomurex luhuanus
Lineage: Eukaryota; Metazoa; Mollusca; Gastropoda; Littorinimorpha; Strombidae
Description: partial 16S ribosomal RNA
Rfam family: Bacterial large subunit ribosomal RNA
Source: RNAcentral
AAUUUUUAACGGCCGCGGUACUCUGACCGUGCAAAGGUAGCAUAAUCAUUUGCCCUAUAAUUGAGGGCUAGUAUGAAUGGUUUGACGUGAGCAAAGCUGUCUCUUUUAGAUUAAGUAGAACUUAACUUACAGGUGAAGAUGCCUGUAUUAAAUUGAUAGACAAGAAGACCCUAUCGAGCUUUAAAGAAAUAUUUAGAAUAAAAUCGCCUAGCGUAAAGGACAUUUAACUAGAUAAGAUUUUGGUUGGGGCGACUAAGGAAUAAAAAAAGCUUCCUCUAUUUUAAAAGUGCUUACAAGCAGUGAUCCAAAUUUAUUGAUCAAAGAAAUUAGUUACCGUAGGGAUAACAGCAUAAUCUUUUUUGAGAGCUCAUAUCGAAAAAAAGGUUUGUGACCUCGAUGUUGGACUAGAGUUUCCGAAAGAUGCUGAAGUCUUUGAAGG